UUGACUUUGAUAUGUUUAUAUUAUAGAUAUAAUACAUAAAACAUCUAGGGUGAGACUCUACGUUCUCCCCAAAAGAAGAGAACCAAGCCGUCCUUCCCUGCUCCCAGCCCCAGUGAUGCGUUGGCGGGAGGCCACCUCCCUUCCCGACCAGAAGCCAGGGCCUCUGGGGGACAAGCCUUGUGGGCAGCCCAGGCCGGAGGGGCUGGGGAAAGCUGAGGGCAAAGGAGAACCCCCCUCACCUCAUUGGUCCCCCAGGAUCAAAAGUAAUCCCAAAACCAAAAGGAAAGAGUCUCAGACCCUUCCCCCAGCUGCCGACGGAGAGUCUCAUUUUGGCAAGUAUCCGAGCAAAACCAAAACAAAACAAAAACCAAAUAAAAUGGUGGUUUAGCAAAGACGCGCACAUUCACAUUGCACAAGGCACUGCUGGGGCACAGAGGCCAGAUACAAGUGUUGAUAUCGGCUGAUAAAGCAAAAUAUUUGGAAAGCUUGUCAUAACUCCGGUCCCUCUGGGAUGGACUGAUCGUGCUUUGUGUUCCUAGGCACAAGGUUAUCCUUAAUACUAGAGUUGCUGGGCUCCCAGCUCAGCCCCAAGAAUUCUCCCCUCCUCGCAGGGAGAAGCCACCGCCUGGCCCCCUCAUCUUAGACGCACCAAGUCCC
Molecule: non-coding RNA, 657 nt
Filed under: Pongo abelii (Sumatran orangutan)
Lineage: Eukaryota; Metazoa; Chordata; Mammalia; Primates; Hominidae
Source: RNAcentral